GUGAAGAACCGAGCCGCAAGGCAAGGUUUUGAUCUCUUCAAACAAACUGUGCACGCCUCCGGGCAUUUCAAAGCGUUAUUAGUAAGAAAGCAAUACAAAAGUUAAUA
This 107-nucleotide unclassified non-coding RNA is filed under the name soil metagenome. Its description in RNAcentral is "partial internal transcribed spacer 1". The record is from RNAcentral.